GGUUCAGGAUGAACGCUAGCUACAGGCUUAACACAUGCAAGUCGAGGGGCAGCAGAUCGAAAGCUUGCUUUGAUGUUGGCGACCGGCGCACGGGUGAGUAACGCGUAUCCAACCUUCCCUACAGUAGGGGAUAGCCCGGCGAAAGUCGGAUUAAUACCCUAUGUUCUUCUUCGAUGACAUCUGACGAGAAGCAAAGGUUUACCGCUAUAGGAUGGGGAUGCGUCUGAUUAGCUUGUUGGCGGGGUAACGGCCCACCAAGGCUACGAUCAGUAGGGGUUCUGAGAGGAAGGUCCCCCACAUUGGUACUGAGACACGGACCAAACUCCUACGGGAGGCAGCAGUGAGGAAUAUUGGUCAAUGGGCGAGAGCCUGAACCAGCCAAGUAGCGUGCAGGAAAGACUGCCCUAUGGGUUGUAAACUGCUUUUAUGCGGGAAUAAAGUGCACUACGUGUAGUGUUUUGUAUGUACCGCAUGAAUAAGGACCGGCUAAUUCCGUGCCAGCAGCCGC
This 508-nucleotide ribosomal RNA is filed under the name uncultured bacterium. Its description in RNAcentral is "bacterial SSU rRNA". It matches the Rfam family "Bacterial small subunit ribosomal RNA", at positions 21 to 518 of the family's 1533-position model. The record is from RNAcentral.